CAGGGAGACAACAAAAUGUUUAAUAUUAUUAUUUUGUCACCUUAGGUCGAUCGGUAUCUCACGUUUUUAAUUUAUUAAGAAUUUCAUUUCCUAAGUUUUUCUAGGUCACACCCAUUAUUUUUCCUGGGCCAUUAGCUCAGGUGGUUAGAGCGCACCCCUGAUAAGGGUGAGGUCCCUGGUUCAAGUCCAGGAUGGCCCAUAUCUCUAUGUUGGGGGUAUAGCUCAGUUGGUAGAGCGCCUGCUUUGCAAGCAGGAUGUCAGCGGUUCGAGUCCGCUUACCUCCACUGAUUACCACCUCUUCCAUAACCGGUAGAAAGGAAAUGUUUUGAGUUGUGAUCAAAUUCUGAAAGAAUCUAGCUUCCUAAUGAAAUCAUUAAGAUGCUGGACUCAUUGAAUUAAUUUCAUUGUUUUCAGAGAACCUUGACAACUGCAUAGAUUAUUUUUAAAGACAACAAGCAUCUUUAAUGAUGCAGAUUUAUUAUUUGUGCGAAUGCAUUAAUAACAAUUCUAUUAAGCUGAUGCUUCAAUUUUUGAAGUUAUU
RNAcentral lists this transfer RNA (541 nucleotides) under uncultured Prochlorococcus sp. RNAcentral describes it as "partial 16S-23S ribosomal RNA intergenic spacer". The stretch from base 212 to 284 matches the Rfam family "tRNA". Lineage: Bacteria; Bacillati; Cyanobacteriota; Cyanophyceae; Synechococcales; Prochlorococcaceae. The record is from RNAcentral.